UGGACCGCUGGUGACAUAUGAGUGUGUCUAAAUCAAGAACUUUGAUUAAACCAUAUCUGCAACUCUGAGGUUCAU
RNAcentral lists this small nucleolar RNA (75 nucleotides) under Procavia capensis (Cape rock hyrax). RNAcentral describes it as "Small nucleolar RNA SNORD113/SNORD114 family (ENSPCAG00000019335.1)". It matches the Rfam family "Small nucleolar RNA SNORD113/SNORD114 family". Rfam says of the family: The imprinted human domain at 14q32 contains two clusters of tandemly repeated small nucleolar RNAs named 14q(I) and 14q(II) snoRNAs. These two clusters are named SNORD113 and SNORD114 respectively in the HGNC approved gene symbol nomenclature. The record is from RNAcentral. Lineage: Eukaryota; Metazoa; Chordata; Mammalia; Hyracoidea; Procaviidae.